RNAcentral lists this ribosomal RNA (326 nucleotides) under uncultured eukaryote. RNAcentral's name for it is "partial 18S ribosomal RNA". It matches the Rfam family "Eukaryotic small subunit ribosomal RNA", at positions 1470 to 1796 of the family's 1831-position model. The record is from RNAcentral.
CCCUUAGAUGUCCUGGGCUGCACGCGUGCUACAAUGAUACGUGCAACGAGUUAAUCCUGCUCUGAAAGGAGUGGGUAAUCUUAUGAAUGCGUAUCGUGCUUGGGAUUGACCAUUGUAAUUAUUGGUCAUGAACGAGGAAUUCCUAGUAAGCACAAGUCAUCAGCUUGUGCUGAUUACGUCCCUGCCCUUUGUACACACCGCCCGUCGCACCUACCGAUUGGAUGGUCCGGUGAAGCCUCGGGAUUGUGGUUCUUGCCGCUUUAUUGUGGCGUGACCGCGAGAACUUGUCUAAACCUUAUCAUCUAGAGGAAGGUGAAGUCGUAACA